UUGCUAAGUUUGAUGGCGACCGGCGCACGGGUGAGUAACACGUAUCCAACCUUCCGUUUACUCAGGGAUAGCCUUUCGAAAGAAAGAUUAAUACCUGAUAGUAUGGUGAGAUUGCAUGAUAGCACCAUUAAAGAUUUAUUGGUAAACGAUGGGGAUGCGUUCCAUUAGGUAGUAGGCGGGGUAACGGCCCACCUAGCCGACGAUGGAUAGGGGUUCUGAGAGGAAGGUCCCCCACAUUGGAACUGAGACACGGUCCAAACUCCUACGGGAGGCAGCAGUGAGGAAUAUUGGUCAAUGGGCGAGAGCCUGAACCAGCCAAGUAGCGUGAAGGAUGAAGGUCCUACGGAUUGUAAACUUCUUUUAUAAGGGAAUAAACCCUCCCACGUGUGGGAGCUUGUAUGUACCUUAUGAAUAAGCAUCGGCUAACUCCGUGCCAGCAGCCGCGGUAAUACGGAGGAUGCGAGCGUUAUCCGGAUUUAUUGGGUUUAAAGGGAGCGCAGACGGGUCGUUAAGUCAGCUGUGAAAGCUUGGGGCUCAACCUUAAAAUUGCAGUUGAUACUGGCGUCCUUGAGUGCGGUUGAGGUGUGCGGAAUUCGUGGUGUAGCGGUGAAAUGCUUAGAUAUCACGAAGAACUCCGAUUGCGAAGGCAGCACACUAAUCCGUAACUGACGUUCAUGCUCGAAAGUGUGGGUAUCAAACAGGAUUAGAUACCCUGGUAGUCCACACGGUAAACGAUGGAUACUC
This 744-nucleotide ribosomal RNA is filed under the name uncultured bacterium. RNAcentral describes it as "bacterial SSU rRNA". It matches the Rfam family "Bacterial small subunit ribosomal RNA", at positions 77 to 818 of the family's 1533-position model. The record is from RNAcentral.